GCACUGCUGAUGAGACCCUACCAGGUCGAAACAGCUGUCCAAUGC
Echinostoma caproni is the source of this 45-nucleotide non-coding RNA. NCBI's taxonomy places the organism in Eukaryota, Metazoa, Platyhelminthes, Trematoda, Plagiorchiida, Echinostomatidae. The record is from Rfam.